This 27-nucleotide non-coding RNA is filed under the name Rattus norvegicus (Norway rat). The record is from RNAcentral. Lineage: Eukaryota; Metazoa; Chordata; Mammalia; Rodentia; Muridae.
CAGCAGCCUUAAACUCAAACGCUGAUA